UGAGGUCAUGUGAUGAUUACAUAGUUCACCUGAUGUGUCACAUGACUUCCGUCAUGUGACCGGUGAUUGAAAAUCUUUCGCCCCUAACUGAUGCCCUCA
RNAcentral lists this small nucleolar RNA (99 nucleotides) under Amphimedon queenslandica. Its description in RNAcentral is "Small nucleolar RNA snR60/Z15/Z230/Z193/J17". It matches the Rfam family "Small nucleolar RNA snR60/Z15/Z230/Z193/J17". From Rfam's summary of the family: The members of this family belong to the C/D class of snoRNAs which contain the C (UGAUGA) and D (CUGA) box motifs. Most of the members of the box C/D family function in directing site-specific 2'-O-methylation of substrate RNAs. The record is from Rfam by way of RNAcentral. Lineage: Eukaryota; Metazoa; Porifera; Demospongiae; Haplosclerida; Niphatidae.